AGUGAGAAUCUACUUUUUGAAACAAGUUGAAAAAAAGCAUUUGUCUACAAAAGAACAUCAGAUACUGCACUUUUUACAAAUUGAAUGUUUGUGGCAAGCCUGCAUCGAGAAAGUCCAUUGAUGCCAUUUUUUUCAAACAGAAAAGUAAAGAUGUUUCUGGAAGGCACCAGGAGUCCUGUCUGCACAGAGCACCAUGAAGUUCACCUGCAUUGAGUUCUUUCCCUUUGUACAACACUUACUCCCAGACCAAAAAAUAACUCCUUCUCUCCAAUCUGUGUUCCAGGCAAACCAAUAGACUCCAAUUGUCUCCUGAAAUGCUUAAAGUGCUUUUCCAAUAUCCACUAUGUUUGGGCAACAUAUUAAAAAUAUACAACAAAAA
Molecule: non-coding RNA, 379 nt
Filed under: Pan troglodytes (chimpanzee)
Lineage: Eukaryota; Metazoa; Chordata; Mammalia; Primates; Hominidae
Source: RNAcentral